UACGUAGGGGGCAAGCGUUGUCCGGAUUUAUUGGGCGUAAAGAGCGUGUAGGCGGCUAGACAGGUCCGUUGUGAAAACUCGAGGCUCAACCUCGAGACGCCGAUGGAAACCGGCUGGCUAGAGUCCGGAAGAGGAGAGUGGAAUUCCUGGUGUAGCGGUGAAAUGCGCAGAUAUCAGGAAGAACACCCGUGGCUAAGGCGGCUCUCUAGUACGGUACUGACGCUGAGACGCGAAAGCGUGGGGAGCGAACAGG
This 253-nucleotide ribosomal RNA is filed under the name uncultured bacterium. RNAcentral's name for it is "partial 16S ribosomal RNA". It matches the Rfam family "Bacterial small subunit ribosomal RNA", at positions 524 to 776 of the family's 1533-position model. The record is from RNAcentral.